UACGUAGGUGACCAGCGUUGUCCGGAUUUACUGGGCGUAAAGAGCGCGCAGGCGGUCGUUCAAGUCGAGUGUGAAAGCCCCCGGCUCAACUGGGGAGGGUCACUCGAUACUGAUCGACUUGAAGGCAGGAGAGGGAAGCGGAAUUCCCGGUGUAGUGGUGAAAUGCGCAGAUAUCAGGAGGAACACCGGUGGCGAAGGCGGCUACCUGGACAGAAACUGACGCUGAGGCGCGAAAGCUAGGGGAGCAAACGGG
This 253-nucleotide ribosomal RNA is filed under the name uncultured bacterium. RNAcentral describes it as "partial 16S ribosomal RNA". It matches the Rfam family "Bacterial small subunit ribosomal RNA", at positions 524 to 776 of the family's 1533-position model. The record is from RNAcentral.